UACGAAGGGGGCUAGCGUUGCUCGGAAUCACUGGGCGUAAAGGGUGCGUAGGCGGGUCUUUAAGUCAGGGGUGAAAUCCUGGAGCUCAACUCCAGAACUGCCUUUGAUACUGAAGAUCUUGAGUUCGGGAGAGGUGAGUGGAACUGCGAGUGUAGAGGUGAAAUUCGUAGAUAUUCGCAAGAACACCAGCGGCGAAGGCGGCGCUCUGGGCCGGAACUGACGCUGAGGAGCGAAAGCGUGGGUAGCAAACAGG
This 253-nucleotide ribosomal RNA is filed under the name uncultured bacterium. Its description in RNAcentral is "partial 16S ribosomal RNA". It matches the Rfam family "Bacterial small subunit ribosomal RNA", at positions 524 to 776 of the family's 1533-position model. The record is from RNAcentral.